Molecule: long non-coding RNA, 555 nt
Filed under: Ananas comosus (pineapple)
Lineage: Eukaryota; Viridiplantae; Streptophyta; Magnoliopsida; Poales; Bromeliaceae
Description: long non-coding RNA (ACOM_LNC029567)
Source: RNAcentral
AGUAUAGGCCCCAUUAUACUCAUAAAUUUUUAACCGUUGUUUGAUAGGAUGUGUGGUUAGGAUGAUGGUGGUCCCCAUUUAGAAUGAUGGUGAUCCCCUGGGGUUGAGUUGGUAGUUGGUUGAAUAGUAUGAUCUAACGGAUGGAAAUGAUCAACGAAAUAAAUCUAAGGGCCAAAAACUUAUGAAUAUAAGACCGUCAAUACUCAUAAAAAUAUAGUAGCCGAACUCUCUCUCUCUCUCUCUUUGCUUCAAUUAUUGAAAACAUAUAUAUAUAUAUAUAUAUAUAGUAGGGCUAGAAUACUUUUACAAGUAUCACCCAAGUGAUACUUGUGUGUUUUUAGCCAUUGGAUCUACUUUUUGAUUACUAAUAGUCCUUGGAUCAAACACUAUUCCACCUACCACCACCUAUCACCAUCAUCUCAACCUCACAUCUCUCCAUCCAAGGGCUAAAACCACACAAGUAUCACUUGGGUGAUACUUUUACAAGUAUUCUAGCUCUACUCUUUCUCUUUCUCUAUAUAUAUAUAUAUUGGGUGAUACUUUUACAAGUAUUCU